GUGAAUCAUCGAAUCUUUGAACGCAAAUUGCACUCUCCGGUUUUCCGGGAGAGUAUGCCUGUUUGAGGGUCAGCCUAAAAAAAACCGAAAUUGUUGCUGUUAUUUAAUGGUGACUUUCGUCGGAGAUUGGGUUAUCUUAACCCUUUUUUUUUUUUUGGUUUAAGCGCCUUAAAUUUUUUCUUCUCAUUUCAUUGAACGUUUUU
This 203-nucleotide unclassified non-coding RNA is filed under the name Glomeraceae sp. RNAcentral's name for it is "partial contains 5.8S ribosomal RNA and internal transcribed spacer 2". The stretch from base 1 to 72 matches the Rfam family "5.8S ribosomal RNA", at positions 84 to 154 of the family's 154-position model. Lineage: Eukaryota; Fungi; Glomeromycota; Glomeromycetes; Glomerales; Glomeraceae. The record is from RNAcentral.